AGAUAUGGGGAGGGGCUUACAAAAUUCAUUUAAAUAAAGUUAGAAUAAUUAUGAAUAGGAUUAUUAGAUUUAUUUUGAGAUAACUAACUAAUGUUCCAUAUCAACAGCUUAUAAGUAUAGAAAAUAUUUUCAAACGUACUGUCAUAGUUAUAACACUGGACUAAAAAAAAUAUCAAUAAAAUAGCGCCAGCUCAUGAUGAAUAUUUUGGUACUAAGAGUUGCUUGAAUCGAGCAAUUCUCUGCAGAAAUUUAAAAAUAAACAUUACUAAUUUUUCUAGUUCUUAUUUAUUUAAGCGUUAUAUAUUAAGUUUAAUUUAGUCAUUAUUCACUAAGCUAUCUAUUUAACAUAUUUUCCGAUGUACAGGUGUUAGAUGUUUCACCCAUCGUAAUUAGCUGUAUUUGUCACUGACCAAAUUUUGUCUUAUUUGU
Cinara cedri is the source of this 429-nucleotide non-coding RNA. The record is from the annotation of a GenBank genome assembly. Lineage: Eukaryota; Metazoa; Arthropoda; Insecta; Hemiptera; Aphididae.